Molecule: long non-coding RNA, 2230 nt
Organism: Equus caballus (horse)
Lineage: Eukaryota; Metazoa; Chordata; Mammalia; Perissodactyla; Equidae
Source: Ensembl
UCUGCAAGUGUCUCAAGGCCAAAGACAGGCUGGUGGGAAAGCUCCAACCAGCAAGGCCAUAUGCUCCCCCUCCCCUACCUAAAACCCCAAAUAAAAACCCUUCCUUUUAGGUUUUUGGGGAGUUUGGGAUUUGAGCAUUAGCUACCCUCUCUCCUUGCUCAGCGCUGUGCAAAAAUAAAAUUCCUACUUUCUUCCACCACACCCAGAGUCAUAGAUUGGCUUGCUGUGCAACGAGUGAGCGAACUCACUUCAGUUUUGGUAACAAUUUGGUGACCCAGAUGGGACAAUGUCCCAGGUGGACGUCUCGCCUGGGGCACACCGGCCUCUGGCUAAAGGCCUCUCUUGGAAGCUGUCCUGCAGCUGCCUGAGCCCCUUGUCUCAGGGACAGCCCCAAGCGACUGGCUGCUAACCAGACGAUGUUGGCCCACGAUGCUUUUGCUUUGGUGGUGGAAGAAACUAGGUUUAGGACUCAGGAAGACGUCUCUUGUAAGUAGCUGGUAGUUUUUGUUUUUGUCUUUGUGUUAACCUUUUCCAACAGAACCUGCCGGAAAUAAUGGGUACCUUGGCAGCCCUCUGGGCUCCAUUUGUUUUGAAGUCGCCCAACGCCCCGGCCAAAUUUUGGACACAAUUGGAAACACUGGUUAUAUUACCAAGGCUUUGACUGGAACAUCAUAUUUGAAAAAACAUAUGGGCUUAAAUAUAACAAGACAGCUUUUGAAGAAUGAAGGUUGACAUUCUGGAAUAAAGCCACUUGGAAAUAUUGGCCUGGUACUGUGCUUAUGGGUUCUGUAACCUGGUAAGGUUGAGUAAAGAAUGUCGCUCCUUUUGGCAGGUACAAGGAACCUCAAUAUUUCGGGGAACCUCAUGAAGAGAGGGAUUCACCCAAAUCUGCAGGUACUGCAGGCAGAAUGUGAUAACAGGUCCUUUGCUUGGCUUUCCUUGAGAGGCCUUUAAAGAUCAACCUGAGAUUUCUUAUAAGGUUCCAGCAAAGCAGAUUAAAAAGAGCCUAUAUGAUCAACUACUAUUCUUGCUGUACUUAUGUAAAUAAUUAUUCCAAAUUUAUUAAAACUAGACAUUGUGCAAACCAGUUAGUCUUAAUUUUGCUAUGUCUAGUGAAAUUGAGGGUGAUUUUAGGGAGGAAGAUUAUGUUUCAAUAGAAACUAUAAUUCAUGUUUAUAGAUAUUAGAUUUUAGUUUUUUCAAUUGUCCUUUUGAAAUUUUUGUUUUACUUCUGUUAACUAGACUGGAUCUUAAAUUCUUCAUCUCCUGAACUACCUGGCCAAAAACCUCCAAGCUAACAUUUUCAGGGUCUUUUUUUCCCCAUUAUUUUCAUUUAGAGUCAUUGAAAACUAAAUCUGCCCUUUUUCCUAAAGCCUUACAAACUGAAGCUGGAAGACCCAAUAUAAACUUAAGAGAGAUUCACGUCUACUGCUGUGUAAGCCACUCAAAAAGCCACCUGAUUGCUGCAUGACACCAUCAGAGACAUUUCAAACUGCAAAAGAUGCUUUGACUCUGACUUCUAGGAAUCUUGAUUGGCUGCCCCCUGGGCUCAGAAACUUGUUUAUAAUUUGCUCCAAUCAUUAACCUUGUUUUUCUCUUUAAGUUUCUCUAGAAAAUCUUCUUAUUAAAUACCUUGUUACUUACUUACAUGAUACAGGCCUACCUUCAGGAGCCCACCAGCAUCACUGCCUUAUUAAAAGACUGGUUCAAUGAGAUAAAACAACCUACGCCCCAUUUCAGCAGGAAGUAGCUAGAUGGGUCGCCACCCCAAAUCCCUAAAGAUUGACGGAUGGACAUAAAAUAGGGGGGAGUUGAUACCGACCCUGAUAUCAGUUUCCCCACAUUAAACCCAGCAUAUAUGGGGUUAAAACCAAAACACUCAUUCCCUGCUUACUCUCUGGCUUCCUGGCUCCAGAAUCCACUAUCCUCCAUGGAGAGAGACACCAUCAAGGACAAGCACCUGGACUAUCUCCUCCCGCAAAGAGAUACGGGCUGGUGGGAAAGCUGCUGACCAGCAGGGUCAUGAGCUGCCUCCUCUCUGCAAGUGUCUCAAGGCCAAAGACAGGCUGGUGGGAAAGCUCCGACCAGCAAGGCCAUAUGCUCCCCCUCCCCUACCUAAAACCCCAAAUAAGAACCCUUCCUUUCAGCUUUUCGGGGAGUUUGAGAUUUGAGCAUUAGCUGCCCUCUCUCCUUGCUCAGUGCUGUGCAAAAAUAAAAUUCCUACUUUCUUC